This is a long non-coding RNA of Alligator mississippiensis (American alligator), 1863 nucleotides long. RefSeq lists it as uncharacterized. The record is from RefSeq and is a predicted model, not a curated record. The transcript has 3 exons. Lineage: Eukaryota; Metazoa; Chordata; Crocodylia; Alligatoridae.
UGCAGGUCUCCGCCGGGUCCCGCCGCCCCGGAGCGCUGUCCGCUCCGCGGCGGCCCUAGUCCGCCGGCGUCCAGCCGGGGGCCUCGGGCCCGCGCUGCAGCGAGCGGGUGGCGGGCGCCCGAGGGCCGCCGGCUCCGCCUCAUGCUCGAACCCCGCAGAGGAGACCCCCGGCCCAGCCGGAGCCCCUCGUCUUGGGCUUGCACCGCGUGUCUGCCCGCUGCCGCGCUGAAAUCCUGGCAGGGGAAACACCACCACCUGGCUGGGUCCAAGAAGGCAGCUUUCCUUAAGCUCUCCGGGAUAACUGUUCUUCUGGCUUGGCUUAGUAGCCGCCAAGGUGCUGGGGCUUAAUGCCCGCUGCAUGGAAACGGGAGGCUCCUCCCUAGCUUGCUCCUGCGGCCAUGUGGCUGACGGCUGGGGAAACUUGGGGGCAUCCAAGCCCCGAGCCUCCAGACUUGGGCCUGCAGGUCCGUAGUGGGUACUACUAGCUGUUUCCACUUGUUGCUGAUUCCUCGUACUCCAGAGAACACUGCUACUCUCCCGUGGAAGUGCGCUACCUCUCUAUGAUUUUGUGACGUCAAGGGAGAGGGCUUCCUACAGCUGAUAUACAUCACUUUUACGGAGUGCAAAAUGCAUAUACUGGAGUGCAAAAUGCUGGGGAGCAGAUGUGACAGGGCUCACUCCCCCUUUCAUCCAGCCCAGGUGUCUGCCUGCUAUGGCUUCUGGUAGGAGCCAAAGAUCCCUCUAAGGUGCAUGCAUGUACAGUCAUGCACAACUAGAAGUCUAAGCUCCAAGGUGAGGCGGGGGCAGAGGUGGGGGCCUGGUAUGGGCUCUGCCAGCUCCGGCGAACUGCUCUGUGGGCUCCAUGGAAGUGCUCCACUCCCUGGCCCUGACGCCACGUACCUCCUCGCUCCCCGAAUCGAAGAGGUGGAACAGAGCAGUUUCCCCAGCCUCCAGCCCCCUUUGCGGCUGCUGCUUCUACCCAACCUGUCAUGAUGCUGGAAUGUGGACAAAGUAAUCAUUGUCAUGGCAACACAAGAUGACUGUGACAACAGUGCAAAAACCAACUAGUAAAAGAGGAAGCUCCAACUCAGGUGCAAAUCUAAACAGCCUUUCAUUGGAAGAUACAAGCAGAACUGGGAGAAAGGAAUGGACUAGAGAAAGGAAAAUGCUGGAUGACUCCCUUGAUUACAGCGAGUGGCCUCAUUUGCUUUUAAUUCUAGUCAUGUAACCAGCCCAAAGAGACAAAGGCAGUUCCUACACAUAGUACAUUAAGGGGCUAUAGUCAGCACUUUCUCUAGAUGCAGCAGUCGCAACCUAGCAUGGGGCUGAAAGAUCAACUUUGCUUUGCCAUAGCCCCAUGAAAAUCCACCUUGCUAUCUGGGGCUGGCCUGCACAGAAUUUUUUUUUUUUUUAUUUAAAAAGCAAAUGACUCACAUACUCUCUCAAUGCUAGGAGCAUUGAGCAUUUUUCUUAAAACAUCAAAUAUUCCAAGGCUUGCAACCCUUUUUCUUGUACAAGUCUUUGUGUGGACAGUACUUUGGAAGCAGAAACAUUUUAAAGUGCAGUUACAUCAAAAUAGGGCAUUCUGUGAACUAAGUGCUCACACUGACUGCAACAACAUACCAAGAGGUAUGAAUUACACAUGUAGUUGUUUCAGUGGCAGUACAAUUACACUUAGACCCCUCAUGGGAGGCUGGAUACUCACACUGCAAAGUCCAGUACUGUGCAUUAUUGAUUCCCCCUUUGAUGCUAAUCACUUGACAAUAUACUCCACAACAUGUGUGCCUCUGCAUGACUUUGAAUCUGAUCUUUGUGGACUCUAACACAGCAGAGAGUAAAACAUUUGCACAUAACUAACUUGGG